GGGCACUUAGCUCAGUGGUAGAGCGACUCGUUUACACCGAGUAGGCCGGGGGUUCAAUCCCCUCAGUGCCCACAA
This 75-nucleotide transfer RNA is filed under the name Candidatus Terrybacteria bacterium RIFCSPLOWO2_01_FULL_40_23. RNAcentral's name for it is "tRNA-Val". It matches the Rfam family "tRNA". From Rfam's summary of the family: Transfer RNA (tRNA) molecules are approximately 80 nucleotides in length. Their secondary structure includes four short double-helical elements and three loops (D, anti-codon, and T loops). The record is from RNAcentral. Lineage: Bacteria; Candidatus Terryibacteriota.